GGCUCAGAUUGAACGCUGGCGGCAUGCUUUACACAUGCAAGUCGAACGGCAGCACGAGUGCUUGCACUUGGUGGCGAGUGGCGGACGGGUGAGUAAUACAUCGGAACGUAUCCUUAAGUGGGGGAUAACGCAUCGAAGAUGUGCUAAUACCGCAUAUUCUCUGUGGAGGAAAGUAGGGGAUCGAAAGACCUUAUGCUUAUGGAGCGGCCGAUGCCUGAUUAGCUUGUUGGUGGGGUAAUGGCCUACCAAGGCGACGAUCAGUAGUUGGUCUGAGAGGACGACCAGCCACACUGGGACUGAGACACGGCCCAGACUCCUACGGGAGGCAGCAGUGGGGAAUUUUGGACAAUGGGCGAAAGCCUGAUCCAGCAAUGCCGCGUGAGUGAAGAAGGCCUUCGGGUUGUAAAGCUCUUUUAGUUAAGAAGAAAAGGUUGUGACUAAUAAUCACAAUUAAUGACGGUAUUAACAGAAAAGCACCGGCUAACUACGUG
RNAcentral lists this ribosomal RNA (491 nucleotides) under uncultured bacterium. RNAcentral describes it as "bacterial SSU rRNA". It matches the Rfam family "Bacterial small subunit ribosomal RNA", at positions 21 to 507 of the family's 1533-position model. The record is from RNAcentral.